This 273-nucleotide long non-coding RNA is filed under the name Selaginella moellendorffii. RNAcentral's name for it is "long non-coding RNA (SMOE_LNC000657)". The record is from RNAcentral. Lineage: Eukaryota; Viridiplantae; Streptophyta; Lycopodiopsida; Selaginellales; Selaginellaceae.
GCCAAGCGUUCUUCGAUACUCCAGGUAUGAUUUCUUGCCUCGAUCCGGUCCAAUGUAGGCUACAUUUCGAUCUAAUAUCGCAAUUUACUAGCUCCAUCGAUCGAAGCGAGGGUUUGCCAGUUCUUUCCUUGCCGUCAAGCGUAUCCUGGUAUGGUUUCUUGCCUCGAAUCGGGAUAUAAUAUCGCAAUCUACUAGCUCGAUCAAUUGAAGCACGGUUUUCCCAAGCGCCAAAGCUGUUCUUUCCCCGCUGCCAAGCAUUCUUGGAUACUCCAG